Long non-coding RNA from Callithrix jacchus (white-tufted-ear marmoset), 583 nucleotides. RefSeq lists it as uncharacterized. The record is from RefSeq and is a predicted model, not a curated record. NCBI's taxonomy places the organism in Eukaryota, Metazoa, Chordata, Mammalia, Primates, Cebidae.
GGACAGGCUGUCAUCAGCUUCAGUGAACGAUCCCAGCUCCUUUCCCUUUGCUGGCUUCGUACUUAUUUUAGUCUGUUCUGCGUGCAUUUCGUAAAUAAGGUUCAAUCAAGGAGUGACCUGGCUUCUGCCUCAGCAAACAAAGCCUGGGUGACAUCGAGACUCUGUGUUAAAAAAAAAAAAUUGGAUUUUUUAAAUGAGGAGAUUGACUGUAAAUGGCAACUUCACAGACCGUCCUGAGUUGCACAUUGAAGCGAAGCCAGCAGUCCUGGGAUUUACAAUCAUAACCUCUUGGAACUGAACUAUUAACGAAUCCAAACACGAGUAUAUUAAGUCACCAACCCUGGCUUGAGCAAUUACCGACGUCUCCUCUUCAGUCAAUAAUUCUAAAAAUGGUUUGAACUGCUGCUUCUUUAAUCAGAUCUCAAGCUUGGAGAGGCUGCGUCUCCCUUUUCCCUGAAGAUAUUGCAGGAGCCGGAGUGAGAUGUCUCCCUUACCCCCUCCGCCCCAGGAAUCAUGUGACUAGUUUGAAGUCUGAAGAUGGAGAGGCUGAAAAUUAAGUGUUAAAUGAUCAAGUUUCUUGAAA